GAUGAACGCUGGCGGUGUGCUUAACACAUGCAAGUCGAACGGAAACGCCGUGCUUUUUUGCGGUGCUCGAGUGGCGAAGGGGGGAGCAAGCCGUGAGUAACCGGCACUCAAUUUUGGGGUAACCUCAGGACAGUGGUGCUAAUAGCGGAUAGGAGAAUCGCCUGAAGGGUAGGGGGCGGAUAGUUAGGGCGGUUGGGGGUGGAAUCGCGGCUUAUCAGCCUGUUGGUGGGGGAGUUGCGUACCAAGGCAUCCACGGUUAGCCGGCCUGAGGGGGUGACCGGCCACAAUGGGACUAAGGUACGGCCCAGACUCCUACGGGAGGCAGCAGUGGGGAGUAUUGCACAGUGAGCGGAAGCCUGAUGAAGCAGCGCCGCGUGCGGAAUGAAGGCCUUCGGGUUGUAAACCGCUUUCGCCUGUAACGAAGCGUGAGUGACGGUAAUGGGUGAAGAAGCACCGGCUAACUACGUG
This 468-nucleotide ribosomal RNA is filed under the name uncultured bacterium. Its description in RNAcentral is "partial 16S ribosomal RNA". It matches the Rfam family "Bacterial small subunit ribosomal RNA", at positions 28 to 507 of the family's 1533-position model. The record is from RNAcentral.